UCAGAAUCACUCCGUGUGUCGGGACUGGUGGGUGUGUGCGCUUGUCAUGCAUGUCUGUGAAAUUAUGAAUGGACACAGAGCGUGGUGUGGUGUGAGAGAGACGCAGAGGAAGGGAGGGAUGGAGAGAGGAAAGGCGUAUCACUAGAGACACAGGCUUAUCAUCUGGCAGCACAGCCUCUCUGUCAAAGGUGUGGAAGGAGCCGGUUUCAGUGUUGACCAGUGCUCAGGACUCAGCAGGCAGGAAGCACCUCGGCAGAAGAAUUUCUAUUACAUUUAAGAGACGUUUUCCAGGGCCCUGAGCGAGUGAUCAAGAUAAACAGCCUCUUGUCCCUCCUGCACUUGCCAGAAACCUGCUGCACUUAUCCAACAUGGAGCAGAAGACGACGUCACCUCAGAAGCAUAUGGUGAAGAGCAGGUCCAAGUCUACAGAAGAAAUCCAGCAAGCCAAGAAGGCCUUCCAUAUACCCCAGAAGUCCCUUCCAGGUGGAUCAGAAUUAGACAAAGUGAAGGAAGGACAAGAAGAAUCUGAAACCCCUACAUCAGCAUCAGAAGAGCUGAAGUAAUAUACAGAAGUCUGGAACAAUGCAAACACACACACACACACAUUAAAUAUAUAGUACCACAGAUGCAUUUCAGAUCCACUUCUCCAUGUCUGUGUUAACUGCAAUCUGCGACUGCUUCACAAAUCUGAAUGUGGCUCAUUAACCUACAUGGAAGUCAUUUGGUGCUCAUAUACCGUCGAUUCCAAAACUAUUGGCACCCUUCCUGACAGUGAGUUCAGUAUGCUCAGGCGUCCUCACACAUCUCGCAUGAUUUGGAAAUUUGUAAUCUAGUUUCUGUUGUGCCCCUGAACAAAGCCAAGAAAAUUAAUCACUUAAUAUCAUUGUGUAAUUUAAUCUGUGUGAGUGUGUUUGUGUGUAUCUAGCAUCUAGCAUCUCAUCGAGAGUGUAUUCCCGAAAUUGCAUCCAAUUGAUGCAAUUGAUCCAGCUGAGCUCCAAAUCCAUCACAAUCCUGAUGAGGAAAAAAAACUUUACUCUAGAAGAAUAAAUGAAUGAAUGACCUUUUGCUCAUUUGAAUAAAGAGUGCCAAUGAUUCUGGAGUGGACUGAUAUAAAAUGCUUUGUCAUCAAAACCCAUGUGUCCUGUAGGCGUGGUCAGUGUAGACGUUGAAGAAUUGAGAUGCUGGGAUGUUGAGUUGUAUUGUAUUCAUCGGUGCGUGUUCAAAAUAAAUCUGGUAAACACAAA
Molecule: long non-coding RNA, 1244 nt
Organism: Hemibagrus wyckioides
Lineage: Eukaryota; Metazoa; Chordata; Actinopteri; Siluriformes; Bagridae
Exons: 6
Source: RefSeq, a predicted model, not a curated record